Molecule: ribosomal RNA, 511 nt
Filed under: uncultured bacterium
Lineage: Bacteria
Description: partial 16S ribosomal RNA
Rfam family: Bacterial small subunit ribosomal RNA
Source: RNAcentral
UGGGGAAUAUUGCACAAUGGGCGCAAGCCUGAUGCAGCCAUGCCGCGUGUGUGAAGAAGGCCUUCGGGUUGUAAAGCACUUUCAGCGAGGAGGAAGGUGGUGACUUAAUACGUCAUCAAUUGACGUUACUCGCAGAAGAAGCACCGGCUAACUCCGUGCCAGCAGCCGCGGUAAUACGGAGGGUGCAAGCGUUAAUCGGAAUUACUGGGCGUAAAGCGCACGCAGGCGGUUUGUUAAGUCAGAUGUGAAAUCCCCGGGCUCAACCUGGGAACUGCAUUUGAAACUGGCAAGCUAGAGUCUCGUAGAGGGGGGUAGAAUUCCAGGUGUAGCGGUGAAAUGCGUAGAGAUCUGGAGGAAUACCGGUGGCGAAGGCGGCCCCCCUGGACGAAGACUGACGCUCAGGUGCGAAAGCGUGGGGCAGCAAACAGGAUUAGAUACCCUGGUAGUCCAGCGCUGUAAACGAUGUCGAUUUGGAGGUUGUGCCCUUGAGGCGUGGCUUCCGGAGCUAACG